AGAGACAGCAGCAGCCGCGGGAAAACAGAGGGUGCGAGCGUUAAUCGGAUUUACUGGGCGUAAAGCGUGCGUAGGCGGCUUCUUAAGUCGGAUGUGAAAUCCCUGAGCUUAACUUAGGAAUUGCAUUCGAUACUGGGAAGCUAGAGUAUGGGAGAGGAUGGUAGAAUUCCAGGUGUAGCGGUGAAAUGCGUAGAGAUCUGGAGGAAUACCGAUGGCGAAGGCAGCCAUCUGGCCUAAUACUGACUCUGAGGUACGAAAGCAUGGGGAGCAAACAGGAUUAGAUACCCCUGUAGUCCCUGUCUCUUAUAC
Molecule: ribosomal RNA, 309 nt
Filed under: uncultured bacterium
Lineage: Bacteria
Description: partial 16S ribosomal RNA
Rfam family: Bacterial small subunit ribosomal RNA
Source: RNAcentral